GCGCGCUUAAUACAUGCAAGUCGAGCGAGAAAGUACCCUUCGGGGUGCGAGUACAGCGGCGAACGGGUGAGUAACACGUAAGCAAUCUGCCCCUAAAUCUGGGAUAACUCUGCCAACGCGGGGCUAAUACCGGAUGUGGUCACGACAUCGCAUGGUGUUGUGAUUAAAGAUGGCUUCGGCUAUCGUUUAGGGAUGAGCUUGCGGCCCAUUAGCUUGUUGGUGAGGUAACGGCUCACCAAGGCGACGAUGGGUAGCCGACCUGAGAGGGUGAUCGGCCACAUUGGGACUGAGAUACGGCCCAGACUCCUACGGGAGGCAGCAGUAGGGAAUUUUGCGCAAUGGACGAAAGUCUGACGCAGCGACGCCGCGUGAGGGAUGACGGCCUUCGGGUUGUAAACCUCUGUUGAGUGGGACGAAAACUCGCAGGGUUAAUACCCCUGCGACCUGACGGUACCACUCGAGGAAGCUCCGGCUAACUACGUGCCAGCAGCCGCGGUAAUACGUAGGGAGCAAGCGUUGUUCGGAUUCACUGGGCGUAAAGGGAGUGUAGGCGGGAAAGUAAGUUAGGAGUGAAAUACACAGGCUUAACCUGUGGCCCGCUCUUAAUACUGCUUUUCUUGAGUAUGGGAGAGGAAGAUGGAAUUCCAGGUGUACCGGUGGAAUGCGUAGAUAUCUGGAAGAACACCAGUAGCGAAGGCGGUCUUCUGGCCCAAUACUGACGCUGAGGCUCGAAAGCUAGGGGAGCAAACAGGAUUAGAUACCCUGGUAGUCCUAGCCGUAAACGAUGGACACUAGUUGUCGGGGGAGUCAAUCCCUUCGGUGACGAAGCUAACGCAUUAAGUGUCCCGCCUGGGGAGUACGCUCGUAAGGGUGAAACUCAAAGGAAUUGACGGGGGCCCGCACAAGCGGUGGAGCAUGUGCUUUAAUUCGAUGCAACGCGAAGAACCUUACCUGGGUUUGACAUGGGGGUUGAAAGUAACCAGAGAUGGAUACCCUUCCUUCGGGAACACCCCACACAGGUGCUGCAUGGUUGUCGUCAGCUCGUGUCGUGAGAUGUUGGGUUAAGUCCCGCAACGAGCGCAACCCCUA
Molecule: ribosomal RNA, 1089 nt
Filed under: uncultured organism
Description: bacterial SSU rRNA
Rfam family: Bacterial small subunit ribosomal RNA
Source: RNAcentral